GCUGCAUGGUUGUCGUCAGCUCGUGCCGUGAGGUGUCGGGUUAAGUCCCAUAACGAGCGCAACCCUAUCAUUAGUUGCCAUCAGGUCAAGCUGGGGACUCUAAUGAAACUGCCUACGCAAGUAGUGAGGAAGGUGGGGAGUGACGUCAAAUCAGCACGGCCCUUACGUCCAGGGCUACACACGUGCUACAAUGGCCGGUACAAAGGGCAGCUACCUGGUGACAGGAUGCUAAUCUCAAAAGCCGGUCUCAGUUCGGAUCGGAGUCUGCAACCCGACUCCGUGAAGUUGGAAUCGCUAGUAAUCGCGCAUCAGCCAUGGCGCGGUGAAUACGUUCCCGGGCCUU
This 343-nucleotide ribosomal RNA is filed under the name uncultured Sphingobacteriales bacterium. RNAcentral's name for it is "bacterial SSU rRNA". It matches the Rfam family "Bacterial small subunit ribosomal RNA", at positions 1040 to 1382 of the family's 1533-position model. Lineage: Bacteria; Pseudomonadati; Bacteroidota; Sphingobacteriia; Sphingobacteriales. The record is from RNAcentral.